CCUACGGGAGGCAGCAGUGGGGAAUAUUGCGCAAUGGGCGAAAGCCUGACGCAGCGACGCCGCGUGAGGGAUGAAGGUCUUCGGAUCGUAAACCUCUGUCAGCAGGGAAGAACGGUCACUGUGCUAAUCAGCAGUGAAUUGACGGUACCUGCAAAGGAAGCACCGGCUAACUCCGUGCCAGCAGCCGCGGUAAUACGGAGGGUGCGAGCGUUAAUCGGAAUUACUGGGCGUAAAGCGCUCGUAGGCGGUAUGUCAAGUCAAGGGUGAAAUCCCCGCGCUCAACGGGGGAACUGCCUUUGAAACUGGCAAACUGGAGUGAGUGAGAGGAUAGUGGAAUUCCAGGUGGAGGAGUGAAAUGCGUAGAUAUCUGGAGGAACAUCAGUGGCGAAGGCGGCUAUCUGGCACAUAACUGACGCUGAGGAGCGAAAGCGUGGGUAGCAAACAGGAUUAGAUACCCUAGUAGUC
This 465-nucleotide ribosomal RNA is filed under the name uncultured bacterium. RNAcentral describes it as "partial 16S ribosomal RNA". It matches the Rfam family "Bacterial small subunit ribosomal RNA", at positions 338 to 795 of the family's 1533-position model. The record is from RNAcentral.